Molecule: ribosomal RNA, 502 nt
Filed under: uncultured bacterium
Lineage: Bacteria
Description: bacterial SSU rRNA
Rfam family: Bacterial small subunit ribosomal RNA
Source: RNAcentral
GACGAACGCUGGCGGCGUGCUUAAUACAUGCAAGUCGAGGGGCAGCAGGGGUAGCAAUACUCGCUGGCGACCGGCAAACGGGUGCGGAACACGUACGCAAUCUACCCAAAACUGAUGAAUAGCCCUCCGAAAGGAGGAUUAAUACAUCGUAACAUUAUAGAGUGGCAUCACUUUAUGAUUAUAGCUCUGGCGGUUUUGGAUGAGCGUGCGGCUGAUUAGANAGUUGGCAGGGUAACGGCCUACCAAGUCUACGAUCAGUAACUGGUGUGAGAGCACGACCAGUCACACGGGCACUGAGACACGGGCCCGACUCCUACGGGAGGCAGCAGUAAGGAAUAUUGGUCAAUGGACGCAAGUCUGAACCAGCCAUGCCGCGUGAAGGAUGAAGAUCCUCUGGAUUGUUAAACUUCUUUUAUAGGGAAGAAACCCGUAAAUUUCUUUUUCGGUUGACGGUACCCUGGGAAUAAGCACCGGCUAACUCCGUGCCAGCAGCCGCGGUAAU